This 497-nucleotide ribosomal RNA is filed under the name uncultured bacterium. Its description in RNAcentral is "partial 16S ribosomal RNA". It matches the Rfam family "Bacterial small subunit ribosomal RNA", at positions 28 to 507 of the family's 1533-position model. The record is from RNAcentral.
GAUGAACGCUGGCGGCGUGCCUAAUACAUGCAAGUCGAGCGAACAGACGAGGAGCUUGCUCCUCUGACGUUAGCGGCGGACGGGUGAGUAACACGUGGAUAACCUACCUAUAAGACUGGGAUAACUUCGGGAAACCGGAGCUAAUACCGGAUAAUAUAUUGAACCGCAUGGUUCAAUAGUGAAAGACGGUUUUGCUGUCACUUAUAGAUGGAUCCGCGCCGCAUUAGCUAGUUGGUAGGGUAACGGCUUACCAAGGCGACGAUGCGUAGCCGACCUGAGAGGGUGGUCGGCCACACUGGAACUGAGACACGGUCCAGACUCCUACGGGAGGCAGCAGUAGGGAAUCUGCCGCAAUGGGCGAAAGCCUGACGGAGCAACGCCGCGUGAGUGAUGAAGGUCUUCGGAUCGUAAAACUCUGUUAUUAGGGAAGAACAAAUGUGUAAGUAACUAUGCACGUCUUGACGGUACCUAAUCAGAAAGCCACGGCUAACUACGUG